This 396-nucleotide ribosomal RNA is filed under the name uncultured bacterium. RNAcentral's name for it is "partial 16S ribosomal RNA". It matches the Rfam family "Bacterial small subunit ribosomal RNA", at positions 360 to 773 of the family's 1533-position model. The record is from RNAcentral.
AAUAUUGGACAAUGGGCGAAAGCCUGAUCCCGCCAUGCCGCGUGAGUGAUGAAGGCCUUAGGGUUGUAAAGCUCUUUCAGUUGGGAAGAUAAUGACGGUACCCACAGAAGAAGCCCCGGCUAACUUCGUGCCAGCAGCCGCGGUAAUAACAAGGGGGCUAGCGUUGUUCGGAUUUACUGGGCGUAAAGCGCACGUAGGCGGAUUGGUCAGUUAGGGGUGGAAACCCAGAGCUCAACUCUGGAACUGCCCUUAAUACUGCCAGUCUAGAGUCCGGAAGAGGUGAGUGGAACUCCUAGUGUAGAGGUGGAAUUCGUAGAUAUUAGGAAGAACACCAGUGGCGAAGGCGGCUCACUGGUCCGGUACUGACGCUGAGGUGCGAAAGCGUGGGGAGCAAAC